Hirundo rustica (Barn swallow) is the source of this 408-nucleotide long non-coding RNA. RefSeq lists it as uncharacterized. The transcript is spliced from 3 exons. The record is from RefSeq and is a predicted model, not a curated record. NCBI's taxonomy places the organism in Eukaryota, Metazoa, Chordata, Aves, Passeriformes, Hirundinidae.
AAGGAAUCUCUCCAAGGAAACCUGGAACAAACUCAAAAGUGAGGAAAGCAAAUGAAGCAAAGACAUAACAAAGACCUAGACUUCAUGUACCUCACUUAGUUGUAGAGUGCAAGUACCUGCCCUUUUGCUCCUCCCUCCCCUGUUGGCUGGCUGGCAUCUGAUUGUCUGCACACAAGAAUCAAGCCCAGCACAUCAUAUGGUUUGCUGCUCACAUGUUCAGACAGCCAGAACUAGAGAGCUGGAAGGUGCUUUUGUGUGCACCACAGGACUGGACCUAGAAGGGGCCUCUGAUCCUAUGUGCACCAUACGCAUAUAUUUGGUGCCUAUCAUUGCACUGCAAUGCUACCCAUAGUGGGAAAGGUAAGAGGCCAUUCUGGCUCUGUUCUUCCUAAGCACCUGAAAUCAUGG